GAGAGAUGGCUGAGCUGGUCUAAGGCGCACGACUGGAAAUCGUGUAACGGCUAAUACCCGUUCAAGGGUUCGAAUCCCUUUCUCUCC
RNAcentral lists this transfer RNA (87 nucleotides) under Candidatus Heteroruminococcus faecigallinarum. It matches the Rfam family "tRNA". Rfam says of the family: Transfer RNA (tRNA) molecules are approximately 80 nucleotides in length. Their secondary structure includes four short double-helical elements and three loops (D, anti-codon, and T loops). The record is from RNAcentral. Lineage: Bacteria; Bacillati; Bacillota; Clostridia. RNAcentral also lists the same sequence under 3 other names.